AGUGUGUGUGUGUGUGUUUACCUUGUAACAAAGCCUUAUGAACAGGUGCAAACAGUAAAUCCUCUUUUGCAACCAAGAACUCAUUGCUGAGUAUGAGAUUUUGGUACUUGUGAGAAGGAAUAUG
Perognathus longimembris pacificus (Pacific pocket mouse) is the source of this 124-nucleotide small nucleolar RNA. RefSeq annotates it as small nucleolar RNA SNORA40. The transcript has a single exon. The record is from RefSeq and is a predicted model, not a curated record. Lineage: Eukaryota; Metazoa; Chordata; Mammalia; Rodentia; Heteromyidae.